This 210-nucleotide ribosomal RNA is filed under the name Triticum aestivum (bread wheat). RNAcentral describes it as "partial small subunit ribosomal RNA". Lineage: Eukaryota; Viridiplantae; Streptophyta; Magnoliopsida; Poales; Poaceae. The record is from RNAcentral.
AUGCCGCUCUCCACCGUCAUGAGCCCCUUCUUCGCGUCGAUGCGCACCGUCCGGUUGAGCCGCUCCGUGCUUAUGAUGGCGCCGUCGAGGCCGCCGGGGCACAUCAGCUUGGGGAUGCUGUGCGAGUACCUCGUGGCCACCUUCAUCUUGCGCUUCGCGGACACCGCGGCCGCCACGGCCCCGACGAGCUCCUGCUCGGUGCGCGGGUAG